RNAcentral lists this small RNA (556 nucleotides) under Pongo abelii (Sumatran orangutan). Its description in RNAcentral is "transcribed unitary pseudogene". The record is from RNAcentral. Lineage: Eukaryota; Metazoa; Chordata; Mammalia; Primates; Hominidae.
AUGGAUUUCUUGGAGUCCAAAAAAUUUAUGGUUCUUCUCUGGAAGAAUUUUAUUUUAAAGAGGCGGCGAUGUAUUGCUUUAGUUGUGGAAAUGGUCCUCACAUUUCUGUUUAGUGCUGUACUUUUGGCAACACGCUCUGUUAUUGUUAUAAAGAAGAAUGGACCUUUCGAUUUUGCUGCUCAGCCUGUCGACGAAGUGCCUUCCUACAUCACAGCUUCCUUAAUUUCUCCUUCUCCUUUGGAAUUGGCUUACGUGCCUUCCAGAAGUACUGUGGUGCAGGGUAUUAUUGAAAAGGUGAAAAUGGAUUUAAACCCCCAAAUGAAAGGAGUACCAGCUCAUGAUAGGAGUCAGUAAUUGGAUGCUCUGGGCGGCCUAUUUCUUCACGUUCCUCUCUUUGUAUUUUAUUAUCAUCAGUUUUACGUGCAUAAUUUUCUUUGUCAAGGAACCUGCACCAGUCAUCCAAAGCAGUGACCCAACGCUUAUCUUUAUCUUUUUGCUGUUUUAUGCCAUCACCACAAUAUGCUUCAGCUUUAUGGUUAGCACGUUCUUCAAUAGA